RNAcentral lists this ribosomal RNA (143 nucleotides) under uncultured eukaryote. RNAcentral's name for it is "partial 18S ribosomal RNA". It matches the Rfam family "Eukaryotic small subunit ribosomal RNA", at positions 1299 to 1458 of the family's 1831-position model. The record is from RNAcentral.
UGGUGGAGUGAUUUGUCUGGUUAAUUCCGUUAACGAACGAGACCUCGACCUGCUAAAUAGUUUGGCGAAUUCUUCGGGAUACGUACAUAACUUCUCAGAGGGACUAUCGGUGUGUAGCCGUGUGGAAGUUCGAGGCAAUAACA